This 157-nucleotide non-coding RNA is filed under the name Catagonus wagneri (Chacoan peccary). The record is from RNAcentral. Lineage: Eukaryota; Metazoa; Chordata; Mammalia; Artiodactyla; Tayassuidae.
GUGUUGUACGAAAGGGGAGAAGGUUAGUACUCGCUUUGACAAGGAUGGACAGGGCCUCGGCCUGACCACACCAAGUCCUAUUGUAUAGCACAGGGAACCACGUCCAGUCUCUUGGGAUAGACUAAGAUGGAAGAUAAUAUAAGAAAGAGGAUUUUAU